RNAcentral lists this ribosomal RNA (468 nucleotides) under uncultured bacterium. RNAcentral's name for it is "partial 16S ribosomal RNA". It matches the Rfam family "Bacterial small subunit ribosomal RNA", at positions 28 to 507 of the family's 1533-position model. The record is from RNAcentral.
GACGAACGCUGGCGGCGUGCUUAACACAUGCCAGUCGAACGGACAGGCCCUGCUUUUGCGGCGUGCUCGAGUGGCGCACGGGUGUGUAACACGUGAGUAACCUGCCCUUGUCUUUGGGAUAAAUUCAGGAGACUGGGGCUCAUACCGGAUAGGAGCUCCUGCUGCAUGUUGGGGGUUGGUAAGUUUCGGCGGUUGGGGCUGGACUCGCGGGUUAUCGGCCUGUUGGGGAGGUAGUGGCUUACCCAGGGUUCGACGGCUAGCCGGCCUGGGAGGGGUACCGGCGACAUGGGGACUGCGAUACGGCGCAGAAGCCUACGGGAGGCAGCAGGGGGGAAUAUGGCAGAAUGAGGGGAAGCGAGAGGCGGCAACGCCGCGAGCGUGAUAACGGGCUUCGGGUGGUGAACCACUUUCGCCGGUGACGAAGCGGGAGUGACGGUAAUGGGUAAAGAAGCACCGGCUAACUACGUG